AUGGUGGUGCCGGCGCGGCGCGUGAAGACGGAGUACAUGAAGCGCUUCAAGGAGCCCAAGUGGGAGUCGUGCGGCGCCUGCUACCUGGAGCUGCUGCGCUACCGCCUCAGCCGCCGCCUCCUGGAGCAGGCGCACCGGCCCUGGCUGUGGGACGGCUGGGAGCAGGACAGCGGCGGCGGCGGCGGCAGCAGCACCGCCGGGUCCCCCUCGCCGCCGGGCGCCGGCAGCCCCGCGGCCGCGCAGGAGGAGGAAGAGGCGGCGGCGCCAGCGCCGAGCGAGGCGGGACGGGCGACCCCCGAGAAAGAAAGAGAAGAUCAAGAAAAGCAGCAGAGGGAAGAGCAAGAAAAAACUGCAGAACACACUCCUGUAAAGGAAGCAGACAAAACCAGCCGUACAGGACGACGUCCGAGUCGAAGUGCCUUGUCCAGUCGUAAUGAUCGAAGAUCAGCCAAAAGUCCUCAAAAGACAGAUGCACCAAAGGAGAAUAAACAUCCAUUUGCUCUGUAUGGGUGGGGAGAAAGACAGACAGAUACUGGAAGCCAGAAAACUCACAAUGUCUGUGCUUCUGCUUCAGCGAAUGAAAUUCAUGAAUCUGCUCUACGAGCAAAGAACAGGAGACAAGUGGAGAAAAGGAAGCUUUCUCAGAGGCGAGUGCGAUCAGCAGAAGCAGAGAAAGCUUGGCGAAUAAAGCCCUCCCCACCAGAUAACCCCUGGAUGACAGAGUAUAUGAGAUGCUACUCAGCAAGAGCUCGGUGAAUUUGGAUUCCCUUAGGCAUCUUCGAAAGAAGUUACGCAUAUCAGGACACUGCUUGUGUUUUACAGACUGGACACCUUCUCACAGGAAGCACACUUGCACUUCUGCAGCAGCAACCUGCACUAGUCUUAGCUUCAUUCCACAAUCUCAGUGAGUAAGCAGGACUCUAGAAUUACUACUGCAACACAGUUACAUGCUUAGGGGAAAGUUUGAUUGUGUUACUGAAAGAAUGUAAUCAUGCAAAGGGACCAGGCACUGCUGCCUCCUAGUGUUAAUUACAUCACUAAAGGUUUCAUUACUCUCAAUUUUAAUCUUACUAAGAUGUCCUAGAAUCCAUGAAAUCUGAUUUUUACCUGCCUUUUAAGCAUAAAGCUAUAAAAAUACAGACAACUCUUCAGGCUACCUACUAGAGAUCUUACAGCUUUUAAAUCUGGGAAUGCAAAGUAUGAUUGUUUUAUACACAGCAAAAUUACUGUAUUCUAACUUUUAAGUAAACCACAGGCUAGAACUUCCUAAAACUUUAGAACAGUGCCCAAAACUGAGGCAAACUAUUCUGGAGGAUGCCUUUAUUCCAUGUGAAAUUCUUUUAAUCUGCUGGGUUUUCCUCCUUAAAUAGCUGCUGUAAAUAUGCUUAAGUUGCUUCUGAUGCUGUUUCAGUUCAGAAAUCCACCCUAGCUUUGAACAACAGUAUCAAAGCACUAACUCGGUAGUGUUUAAAACAGCCUUAUUCAAUAAAAACUCUGCCUGUUCCUGUUGCCCACAGGCUUUGUAGGCUUUCUGUAACUACAGCAGAUGGACUGUGCCCUCAGCGCAUUUUGUCACAUUGAACAGUUUCCUUGAUGGUGUAGGGCAGGACUCGUCUUGCCGUGCUUUCAAAGACAGCUUCUACAGUUCUCUCUUCCCACUAAGAAUGGAGGAGCCAAGAUGACUCUGUGCCUGCCUUAAGUACCCAUUUUUGGCUAAGAUGGAUCUCCCAUUAGAUGUUGGUCUUUCCAAUAAUUAUAGAAGGCUUAGAUGUCUUCUGCCUUGGAUACUGGGUACCAAACUUAAAACAUCUCAAACAGGCUUGUUCAGGUGUUCUACAGAGCAUGAGAAUCUUCAACGGCAUCCAGGUUGCUGUGUACUGAGGAAAUGAUCUAGUUCUUACCCUUGUCUGGUCAGGAGCUGUUCCUCGCCAAAACAAUUUGCUGGAAGACAGUAGUGAUGCUAAUCAGGUCAUGUCAGUCACUGUCAUGCUUUUUCAAAUGGUCUGUAGCUAAAAAUAAUCCUGGGUGUGAUGUUGGUACCAUCUUGGUUUAAGUAAUAAUGCCUGAAGUGAGGGGUAAAUUAUUCUGCAAAUCAGGUAGCCUUCCUGCAUUUGGGCAUUAUUUGACUAAAAAAAGGCUAGUAGGUUUGCUUAGACUAUGUGAAAUAGUUCUGAUUGCUGCAAGUUGUAUAUGCAAAAUAUUUGGCAUGUGCCAGGCUGAAGUCUGGAAAACCAUUAUUUUAGUGUUUUGAUGUUAAAAAAAUGAAAAGCCAAUUGACUUGGAAAGCAGAACUUUUCAAGUGUGAAAGCUUUAACUAUAUUCCAUAGAUUCUUACAGGAGGUGGCUGUUUUGCAUCAAAUUGGACUCACUAAAAAAUGGAAAACCUAGUGAAUGUCACCCUAUCAAUUAAGGAAGUUGUGAACUUUGUCUUGCAUGGACUCUUGAAUUCAGCCAAGUGAUGAACACUUCUCACUCCUGUUUUAGAAGUAAAACUUUGUAAGAACACAGUAAAUACUCAGUUGUCCAAAGUCUUCAUUAAAAUAACUGUUUAUUCUUUUUUGUUUCUGAAAGUACUUAGCUAAAUGAAACAAGACUUUUACAAUGUGUAAUGCUGCAAUUUAACUAUAGUGUUGUGAAGACUUAGUGUUUACAAUGUAAAAUGUUACAAUGAAAACUGCAUAAGAAUGUCCCUGUAAAAUACACUAGCUUGCCUGUUCAGUCACUGCUGUCACAUCUUUGCAACUAUGAAUUACAGACUUUUUCACUGGAAGCUGAGAUAGUUGAGCUGAUAGCUAAACUUAGAGCCAAACUUAAUGAAACUGAGGGGCAGACCUGAAUUUUUGGUAAGAAUUUUAGCCAGGUAGCAAAUGUACAUUUUAAUCAAAUUUUUAAUGUGUAGGGCAGUGUAUCUGUUCUCUUUUUUUUUUUUUUUUAAUGGUAUAAUGCAGUGCCACUGAACUAUAAAGGCCUCUGACUUUUUUUUUUACUGUGAUAGGGACCAAAAGCUAGCAAUCUGAGGGCCUUAUGUGGGUAACCUGGAUGUUCCAGUUUAUUUUCCAGCUCAGUUAGUGCACUCAGCAGCAAAGCCAUAUAUGGAGCCUGACUCAACACCUUGACAGUAGCCCCUAUAAAAUUAGGGGUACAAGUGAAUGGGAAGCUGCCUCAGCUAUUGUUAGCACUGAAUUCACUUUAAAAACAAUAGGGAAAUACCAUCUAAGCUUGAAGCAAUAUGUGUUUUUUAAAGUUUUUAAACAGUAUUUGUUUUUAAUGCUUCUAUAUUGUCUAUAUUUAAUAGUGUAGUGUCAACUUGUAUAUGUGAAUAAAAUGA
Molecule: RNA transcript, 3328 nt
Organism: Gymnogyps californianus (California condor)
Lineage: Eukaryota; Metazoa; Chordata; Aves; Accipitriformes; Cathartidae
Gene: CCSAP
Gene name: centriole, cilia and spindle associated protein
Exons: 4
Source: RefSeq, a predicted model, not a curated record